Molecule: ribosomal RNA, 427 nt
Filed under: uncultured prokaryote
Description: bacterial SSU rRNA
Rfam family: Bacterial small subunit ribosomal RNA
Source: RNAcentral
UGGGGAAUUUUCCGCAAUGGGCGCAAGCCUGACGGAGCAAUACCGCGUGAGGGAGGAAGGCCUUUGGGUUGUAAACCUCUUUUCUCAGGGAAGAAGUCAGUGACGGUACCUGAGGAAUCAGCAUCGGCUAACUCCGUGCCAGCAGCCGCGGUAAUACGGAGGAUGCAAGCGUUAUCCGGAAUUAUUGGGCGUAAAGAGUCCGUAGGUGGUCUCUCAAGUCUGCUGUUAAAGAGUGGAGCUCAACUCCAUAGGGGCGGUGGAAACUGAGAAGCUAGAGUUCGGUAGGGGUAGAGGGAAUUCCCAGUGUAGCGGUGAAAUGCGUAGAGAUUGGGAAGAACACCGGUGGCGAAAGCGCUCUACUGGGCCGAAACUGACACUGAGGGACGAAAGCUAGGGGAGCGAAAGGGAUUAGAUACCCCCGUAGUCC